CCCGCCACCACGCCCGGCUAAUUUUUUGUAUUUUUAGUAGAGACGGGGUUUCACCGUGGUCUCGAUCUCGUGACCUCUUGAUCCGCCCGCCUCGGCCUCCCAAAGUGCUGGGAUUACAGGCGUGAGCCACCGCGCCCGGCGCAGGGCGUGCCCAGGGCUUCUGAUGCCAGAGCCCAGGAAUGAGCUUUUGCCUUUUGGAUUCAGGGCUUCCCUGUACUCUCACAGAGUCAGAAUGGCCGUAUGUUUACAUGUGAAGCCCUGGGGCUCCCUGGCCCCUUCCUGGGCCGUUCUCCACCUUUUCUCUUCUCACCCUUUGCUGUUCCCUGAGUCAUGCAAUCCAUAGUGAAGAGGCCAGAGGCCCGGAUGGGGAAGUGCCGGGGGCAGCCGUGGCAGCUUCAUCACAGAGCUCCUGGGGACUGAUGCACACAGCUGUGGAAAUGAUAGUAAGGCUCUUUGUUAGAGCUCUUGUGGCUGCCUGGAGAUGAUGCUGCCUUGGCCAUGGCCUGCUGUUAUCCUCGGGGAGCUGGGACGUGGGCACAGGGGCAUGCAUUUCCCCCUCAGCACUAGCUCCAAGGGACAAUGUGCAGCACUUGCUGAGGGCAGAAGAAAAUGGAAAACAAAGACAAACAAACCAAAGAAGGCGGAUGAAGUAGAAGCCAUUCAUUCUUUCCAUGAACAUUGACCCUAUAUCCUGAAGGUGGAUCCAAUGAAAAAAGAGAAGCAGCAAGAGUGGCUUCUGUUUCCCUGGCUGGACUCUGAGUAAUAUAGCAGCAAUAAUUUCCCAAGGGAAAGGAGGAAGACGGGUUGGCUCCAAUGAAGACACUUAUGAUGUGAAGAGUUCCCGUAACAGUUCACCAUCUCUGGGGCAGUUAUACAACAGGGAUCCCUGACUUCUUCAGAACCGAGAGUUCAAAUCAGGACUAUCUGGUGAUGAAUCUAUCCACUAGAAGCUGAUAUGAAGAGUCAGGUCACUAGAAAACAGAAUAUCAUGUGAUUGUGUUUGACUGCACAACUGGUCUCUAUCAAUAUCUAUGCCUGAAGAGGAAGAAUGUUUGCCUAGUAAGGUAAAAUAUUUGGUUAUCUACCUCUGUUUGCCUGACUUAUCCCUGCUGGUAUUAGUAACCACUAUAGAGGAAGAACAAAUAGACAAUUACAAGAAUGUGUGUCAAGAUCUUGGACACAAAAUUAUUUCAUAUUGUUUACAUGUAAUACUAAUCUAAAGCUUGCUAAGACUCAAGUAAAAUGUUAGGGUCAGAAAAGACAACAUAACUAGAAGCCCUCUUGUUAUGUUGAAUAGGAAAGAAAAAAAGUCCACUGGGUAUGAAUCACAUAAGUUGCCUCUGUGGCAGGUGCCUGCAGCAAUUACUUUCCAAUGGGUGCUUAAUAAAAACAGAAGAUGGAAAACUCAAUACGUAAGGUCAAUACUGAUAACAGUUCAUUAGCACAAGUUGAGGACAAGCGAAGGAUGAAUGUGCCUUGUCCUCCAAGCAGCUGAAGUGCACUUCCCCAGGCUUCUGUCUUCUCUUCUGAGUCACUGAGUCUCUGUGCUCUUUGACACCCUAUAACUGGAGGAUUAUGAUUACUUAGUAGGCUUCUGUGCUUAACUUGAUAAAACAAUAAAAAGUCACACAGAGAAAUCUUAAAAACUCGAGGUAGCUUGUAAAGCCACAACUCCACUGUUAUUUCAUACCACCUUCCUCUCUAUCUCACUUCUCCACAUUGAAAUAUGCCCCUUUCCUUGAGAUAUGAAUCACUAAAGUACAAAAACUAGUUUUAAAGUAUGCACAGUUGACCAGGCACAGUGGCUUACACUUAUAAUGCCAGCACUUUGGAAGGCUGAGGCAGGAGCAUCACUUGAGGCCAGGAGUUUGAGAGCAGCCUGGGCAAUAGAGCCAGACCCUCUUUCUACCAAAAAUAAUAAUAAUAAAAAACAGCUGGGCAUGGCGGUGCAAGUCUGUAAUCUCAGCUACUCAGGGGGCUGAGGCAGAAGGAUGAGUUGGGCCCAGAAGUUUGAGGCUGCAGUGAGCAAUGAUUGUACCACUGUACUUCAGCCUGGGUGACAGAGCAAGAGCCUGUCUGUUAAUAAAUGAAAAAUAUAAAAUAAAAUAAAAUAUUGAUAGUAGUAUUUAGUGGGAAAACAUUAAUUUGAGUCUACUCAUAAUUUUGAAUUUUGAGAUCUGGAUUCAUUUAAUAAAAAUCAUGUUGAGUACAUUUUCCAAACUAUUUGAAUACAUGUUCUCCUUAUCUUAUGAACUAAUUUAACUUUACCAUAGCUUCAGAGAAAAUGGCUUGCCUCGUGGUGUGUGAUAACCUUUGGGUGGGCACAACUCCAUCAGCAGCUAUUCCUGAGACAGGAGAUGGUGGCUCUGUGAUCACAGUUUCAUUGGAAUAUUUGGUGUAAAAUGUAAAAGAAAAUAUGGCAACACAUGGGAGGAUGACAACAGAGGGGCUACGGUGACAUAUUGCAGGGGUCAUGAGAGUCAUAGGAGACACUUGGCAUCCUAAGGACCAAAUCUUAAAAGGAAAGCCCAGGACAAUUGUGUAUUUCCCUUUGUAAAUGGUAUUAAACGCAUUUAAAAAGUAUUACAUCUAGAGAGCUAAGUUAAUGUUCAAGUCCCUCUAAUCUAUCUGCCCACUUCCCACCGCUGCCUUCUAGCACAUUUCAUAGAGAGGAUAAUUCCUUUUUAAUUGAUUUCUCUCUGGGCAGCAUUUCCUUUCUUUGUAAUAACGCAUCCUGCACAACGAGCUCUUUAGACUUCAGAACAUUAUAAUCUAAAGAAAAGGCAGAAUCAUCUCCACCAAAUGUGGAAAUCUGAUUGUGUAGUGGGGAAGACUUAGCUCCCUCAAGUUGUGCUCUAGGGCCAAACCCUUUUCCAUUUCUACUGAGGAUGUCUCUGGAGUGCUGAGAGGUGGAACUCCAAUUAGGGGAAGACUGAGGGGCUGUUCCUAUAGACGCUCCAUGGGAGGGCCACUUAAUAACAGGAAGCUCAUUGGUCCUGAAGCCCUCAGGGUCCUCCAGAGGGCUAGGGUGCCAACAGGGACAUCCUUGGAGGGGUCCUCACCCUGGGCUUGGAGAGUCCAUCUCACCAUCACUCUCAGAUGAUUGCCUGGCAGCUGCAGGAUGUCCCAGGGCCCGACUUCUCCCUUUCACAGCCUCACUCAUCUCCCUGAGGUAUGUCUUUCCUGAGGUUCUGGAAUCAAGAAUGUUUAGUAAAUCAUAUAGGCCUGUCUGGGACCUUUUCAUGGCAGAUGUUUCUGAAUUCUUUCUCUCUUGACAGAUAACUCUCCCAUCUUCCAGGAAUUAUUAAUGAGUUUUCUAGUUCUCUGAUCUCUUGGUGAUACUUUAACCAGCAAGACAUUUUGUUGUCUUGUCAUUUUGCCUAACCCAAUUUUUAUUUUUUCUUGAAAAAAAAUCAGUAUAAUAUGCUAAGAUCAACAGAACUUUGGGCUGGUCUUCUAAGGAAAUGGUGUCACCCUUUUAAAAGAAAACAUCAAAGCAAGCAACCAACAAUUGCAAUAGAAGGCCAACACUGUUCCUUCUAAAAACAGGUCAGAAUCAUCGUCUCUCUGGCUUUGAAGAACUUUGCAUUGCUAGGUCUCUGUUAUUUUCUCCCAGCCAUUCUUUUCGGGAUUUUCUGUCUGCUGCCAUCCGCUAACCUUUGCAUCCCCUUUCUCCAGCCUACCCCUCAUGUUGGGGUAACAGCCUGUUGUAUCUGUAAAAAUACAACACAUGUCUCAACAAGAUUUCUAGCUUAGUCACGGCAGCCACCAGAACACUCUACAAAUGUAAAAGAUGACCCCAACCUGAAGGCUUUGGAAUAUCUAACUCAAAAAUAAACUUUGUUCUGGAGAAAUAGGAAAUGUAUCCAGCAAAAACAACUUCAGCUCUUUCACAGGUGAAAAUAAAAGGACUGGUGGCAAAUCAAAGCACUACUUGGUACAGAGAUUGCUGUUUGCUUGGUCAAAGGUUGCACUGUCACCCUUUUCAAAGUUUAAUUGCCUUCACAGCAAUCUACCCGGUAUUGGCUUUCCUGUUUGUCUUAUUAGGGCAGCAAAGUACACCCUGUGUUCUCCUCACAGGGAAUAUCUUGUUUCAUCACUAAUUGUCAAGAUUUGGGAAAAGGUCAACUAAGCUUAUCUAAACGCCUACUAAAAAUAAAAACCCUUUGAAUGAUUAUCUUUUCUAAAAAGAUAAAUUAUGGUGAACAUUACUUGUAAAAUCUUAGUCUAAUAAUCUUUCUCAAGACAUUUGCAUUUCAUUAAUAAUGUUAACAUAUUCCUGACAUGUUAUUAAUGUUUUACAGAUUAGAAAGUGUGUGUAUAUAUGUGACUUUAUUCAUUUUCAAAACAGCAUUUUGAGGUAAGAAAUAUUAUUUUUUCUUUUUAAAAUUAUAGAUGAUAAAAUUACAUUUCAAAUAAUGUAUAUAACUGGCUCACGAAAAUAUAGCAAACCAAAGUUUCCAUUAUUCCACAUUGCUUCUCAUCAUUUCUUAGACUGAAGAAUGGAAAGUUCAUGGACCUGUAAUUAGUGACAGACACAAGAGGGACAGAUGAACUCCUGAUAUUAUAUCUAAAGCUUGACCCCUCCCUCUUCUUUCCAGAGUAGUUCAAAAUUACACCCUAUUCUACCCAUUGUGGGCCAAGAAGCAGCACCUGAUGACCCCAUGUUACAUGGCGAGCCCCAAAGGGACCAUUCUCACCUUAAAUAAUUUCAUGGCACGCAAGACCAAAGAACUCCAUAGUGGCACACACCAACUAGUUGCAUGACAGAGGACACAAGGGAGAUUCUGAACCCUGCUACCUCUCUGUUUUGUGGCUAAAAGUUCAACAGAUACAGGAUUUGAAGGCAUCCCAUGCUGGGAUUGGAGAGGCUCACCUUUACAUUGUUUUGGGAAAGUAUUAUUCUUCUCCAAUGAAGUUGUGUGUUAGAUGCAAGUUAUUCUGACUGACCUUGGGAUUGUCAACCUUAUCUUCUUCUUAGUUCAAGCACAAAAAGACAAGGUUUGUGCACCCCUUGUCUCAGUUGUGAAUAAAUGUUGGCCUAAUCCUGAGGAUAAAAAUAGAGCAAUCUCUCAUUAAAAUUCAAGUUAUAUGAGGAGAAAGUUGUUUUCUUUUCUGUUUUGUUCACUGCUGCUUCCUUAUUGUCUACAAACAUGCCUGGUACAUCAUAGAGGCUGAAUAUGUAGUAUUUGGAUGGAAUAUAAUAUACGGAUGUGUGUGUAUCUGUCUGUAUGUCUGCCUGUCUGUCUGUCUGUCUAUAUCUCAACACUUUGUCAAAUCUGACCCUCCCGACCUUAAGGAGCAUGGUGUGGUAGACAAUGAUCACGCUCCUAAUACACAUUCUCCCCAUUCCUUCCUGGUGAUAAAACUCUCAAUUUUUAGCUGGGUGCAUGGCCAUUUAGAGGAAAGACUGCAUUUCCCAAUCUUCCUUGCAGCUAGACCUUGCCAUGUGGUUAGGAUCUGAGCAGUAGGUGGAGGGGAACGUCUCCUGUCCAAGUUCAGUAGGUAUCUUGCCUCUUUCCCUCUGCCUAAAUGUGCGUGAGAUGGCUGGAACACCAGAGGCCAGGAGGUAGAAGCCACAUGUUCAAGAUGAUGGAGCAAUUCCAUGGCUGGAGCCUGAGGUCCUGACAAUCAUGAUGCACAGCCCCAUAAGCCACUGUUAAGCCACUGUUAUUUUGGGUUUUCUGUCACAUGCUUUUUUCCAUAAUACCUUUAUAAAGUUUUCUAAUAGUUGAAUGAAUACAACAUUCUAUUUUAUUGCUAUAUUCUUGCUUUUGUUUUCAUUGAACACGAAUUUUGUGGAGUGUUGCUUCUGCUUGUAAUCAAUGUUGACUCAUCCUAGAAAUCUAAUCUCAACUCUCCUGCGUGGUAGAGGCUCAGAUGGAAACUCCUGCACAUCUUGUUUCUUGCUGCCCAUCGUCAGUGGACAAGGCCUGGCAGCUUGCAGGGAGAGGAUCACUGAGGAUGAACAGGAUAAAUCUUGACAUCUCGGAACAUUUCCUUUUUUUUUUUUUUUUUUUUCCAGACGGAGUUUUGCUCUUGUCGCCCAGGCUGGAGUGCAGUGGCAUGAUCUUGGCUCACUGCAAUCUCCUCCUCCCCGGUUCAAGUGAUACUCCUGCUUCAGCCUCCCGAGUAGCUGGUAUUACAGGCAUGCG
Molecule: long non-coding RNA, 6155 nt
Filed under: Homo sapiens (human)
Lineage: Eukaryota; Metazoa; Chordata; Mammalia; Primates; Hominidae
Description: HSALNT0084036
Source: RNAcentral